UCUGGAUCAUUUUCCGAUGAUUACACCCCAAAAAACAU
RNAcentral lists this ribosomal RNA (38 nucleotides) under Leishmania major. RNAcentral's name for it is "partial 18S ribosomal RNA". Lineage: Eukaryota; Euglenozoa; Kinetoplastea; Trypanosomatida; Trypanosomatidae. The record is from RNAcentral.